This is an RNA transcript of Brassica rapa (field mustard), 3658 nucleotides long. It is a transcript of the gene named cytochrome P450 705A5, with no coding region annotated. NCBI's taxonomy places the organism in Eukaryota, Viridiplantae, Streptophyta, Magnoliopsida, Brassicales, Brassicaceae. The record is from RefSeq and is a predicted model, not a curated record.
AUAUAUAAUGGGUACUUGAUAGUAAUUUUCUUUGUUAAAAAAAGACAUUUUAGGACAUUGAUUUCAAAGAUGCCAUGAAAGCAUGAAGGAUUUCGACGGAGAAAGGUCAAGGGUUGGUAUCAGUUAAUAAGAUUGUAAGUCGUUCUCGCAGUUUAAGGAGAGUAUACCGAGCAGGCAUUGUUAUUAGAAGAAGCUAAUAAGGGUAAUUAAAGGAAACAUGAAGGAAUGAAUGAGAGAUGCUGAGAAUUGGCUUCUGUAUCAGUCGAAAUAAAUCAACGUGACAUGGUAAUAUAGAUCAACUGACCAUGAAGGUAGCAGCAUUGUGUAAGAGAAGAUGGAGCUAACACGGCGGUGGCGGUGGUGGUGAAGCUACCAGUGUUCACUUUGCAUGAUAUAUUUUGCCACGUGGUUGUUGUUCUCUAGUUAGCUUACACAUUUUUUUUUAUAAAGGUCUAGUUAGCUUACACAUAUUGUAACAUAUCUUAUCUAGUUAUCUUAUACUUGUACUCUUCUUCAUCGAAUUAAUAAAAUUCAGAAGUUGACAGAAAAAUGAUUAGUGACAGAAGUAUCUCUUUGGCUGUCACAUUGGAAAAUGGACAUGCUUAAAAUAGAAGUAUUUUCUUUAUUUACUUGAGAUUAUGGGGUUGUCGCAUCUUGUUUGUGAUUUGAUUAGAUACUCUUUCUUCAUCUGGUUUCUCACUUUGAGCAACAAUGGCAGCAAUGAUGAUAGUUGACUUUCAAAACUACUUCAUCUUUAUCCUUCUAUGCCUCUUCUCACUCCUCUGUUACACUCUCUUCUUCAGGAAACAAAAGGACUCACGACUUGGCUUUGAUCUGCCUCCAAGCCCUCCUUCUCUACCAAUCAUUGGCCACCUUCACAUCAUCCUCUCUCUUCUAAUCCACAAAUCUUUACAGAAACUCGCAUCUAAGCACGGACCUCUCCUCCAUCUCCGCAUCUUCAGCCUCCCUAUAGUCCUCGUCUCCUCUGCUUCAGUGGCUGACGAGAUCUUCAAAGCUCAAGACGUGAACGUCUCCUCUCGCAGCAGCCUCCCUACUAGCGAGGGCUCCCUCUACUUUGGAUCUUUUGGCUUUGUUACCGCGCCUCAUGGAGAUUACUGGAAAUUUAUGAAGAAGCUCAUCACCACCAAGCUCCUCGGAUCACAGGCACUCGAGAGGUCACGAGGCAUCCGUGCUGAUGAGGCAAAGCUGUUUUACUCUAACCUCCUAGACAAGGCGAUGAAGGAUGAGAGGGUUAAUAUACGUGAAGAAGCGAUGAAACUAACUAACAACAGCAUGUGCAAGAUACUCACGAGGAGGAUUUGUUUAGAGGAUGCGGAGAGAGUCAGAGGCUUAGUGGCCAGGACAGAUUCCUUGUCGAAGAAACUUCUCUUGGCGUCUGUCUUGCGCAGACCGCUUGAGAAGCUUGGGAUCUCACUUUUUAAAAAGGAGCUAAUGUGUGUUUCCAGCAGGUUCGAUGAGGUACUAGAGAGGUACCUUGUGGAACACGAAAAGAAACAGGAGGAGCAAGCAGAGACAAUGCUACAUGGAGUAAAGAUCCGCCACUCGGAGCAAGGUGUGGAUGUGAUGGAUGUGUUGAUAGAAGCAUAUAGAGACGAAAACGCAGAGUAUAAGAUCACUAGGAACCAUAUCAAGUCCUUGUUAGUGGAUCUUUUCAUUGCAGGCAGUGAAACUACGUCCAACAUUAUAGAAUGGACCAUGGCGGAGCUCAUAAACAAUCCCAAGACUCUUGAGAGAUUAAGAGGAGAAAUCGAUUUGGUUAUAGGGAAAACAAGGUUGAUUCAAGAAACUGAUCUACCAAACCUUCCUUACUUGCAAGCAGUCAUGAAGGAAGGGCUGAGAUUGCACCCACCGGUGCCUCUUGUGGUAAGAACUUUCCAAGAAGAGUGUGAGGUUAAGGGGUUCCACAUACCGGAGAAGACAACACUUGUUGUCAAUGGUUAUGCUGUAAUGAGAGAUCCUGAUGUCUGGGAAGAUCCUGAUGAGUUUAAGCCAGAGAGGUUCUUGGUUUCAUCAACAUCCGGACAACAAGAGGACAAGAUUAGGGAGAAGGUUCCCAAGUACAUUCCUUUCGGAAGUGGAAGGAGAGGUUGUCCUGGAUCAAACCUAGCAUAUCUCUUCCUAGGAAUAGCUGUUGGAGUGAUGGUGCAGUGUUUUGAUUGGAGAAUCAAGGAAGAGAAAGUUAAUAUGGAUGAAGCUGCUGGUGCAGUUUCUUUGAGAAGGGCUCAUCCAGUUCACGCCACUCCUGUUGCUCGAAACCGAGACCUUUUAACUUAACUUGUAGACUUGCUUUCUCUUGCUUUUUUAAAAAAAAUCUGAUGAUUGAACAUGUGUUCCCGGUUUGUUGUUUACCAUAGGUUUUGUUAGCCUUAUUCAGUUAUUUGGAUAACAAAAGCUAUCGUUGGUUUUGUUAAUUACCAUCAAAUAAUAAAUCUGUAAGCAGUUUAUUUUGGAGUGUACCUCGUCAAAACCCAUGGCGACUUUCUUCUCCUCGUCAAUGAAGAAACAAUUACAUGAAAUCAGAGGGUUAAUCACUCUCAAGAACUUGCUCCGCGACACCUCUUCAGCCUCAAUCUUAGUAGUAAUCCACAUCUCAAACUCCUCUGAACCUGCUUCGUCGUGACUGAAUAAAACCGCAAGCUUCUCUUCUCGAACACAUGAUAAAGUCACAGGGUUAUGAUAAGCAGCGUCAAACGGCAGACGCAUAAGAGGACCAAAACUCUCGCUUGUAAUAUCGAAACAGAUUAUGUGAUUUUCUUCUCGAUAUAUGUUCCUUGGUGAAGCAGGCCAGUAAGUGUUUACCUUGAGAGACACGCCACGCUGAUGAAAAUUUAUAACCUAGUGUGGAGUAACAUCUAGACUCUUUCACUAACUAGACUCGAAAUCGUAAAUCUCGUACCAUAAAAAGUGGUCUUUGACCGCAUGUCAACGCAGUGAUCUAUAUACCUCAAGAACUUGUAGGCACGACAAGAACUGGAGCCGCCUUUGUCCUCGUACCCUAGAGCGUAACUGAACCAUUAAUUAUGAAUGGAUAGUAACCACCAGCUGAAACUGUUGUGAUUUAAAAACUUAGAACGAUCUGCAGAAAAAUCUUUCUUGGAUUCACAAGCAUUGUAAUUGAUUUUGCGCUAAACAUUUCUUUUGGCAAUGAGGAUCUCUAUGGUUGUUUCCCAAUUCCAAUGAGUCUAUAGUUGUGCAUGGUUCUGUCUCGUUCAACAAGUUUCAGAUCUUCCCAAGUAGCGAAACUUGUGUUCUGUUGAUGUUUAUUAUAGACAAUCUUUAUCAUUGGGGAAUCAUGUUCGGUGGUUCAAAUUGCAGGGCUCUAUGCAUGGCGAAGUCUCUUGAGUUUUCGUCACUCAUGGUCUUCUCCAACAAUUCAACGCUCAUCAGAGCUAUUUCCGACAACUGGAAGUAAAGAAAUCAUCGGAAUCAUUUCAGACUAUCGUUCGAUCUCUUCUAGUUUUGCAACAAUCAUGUUUUCUCGCUUUUUUAGAUCGGAAAACUUGUUUGCCUACAAUUUAGCUAAACAGGCCUUAGAGGUCUUUUCUUCUUUGUACUGAACUCUUUGAGGUUGGGCCAUCGUUUUGGAUCUCUUCUCCUCUUUCUAUUUUAAUAAAAAAAUUCUGUGACAAAAAAAAAA